UACGUAGGGUGCGAGCGUUGUCCGGAAUUAUUGGGCGUAAAGAGCUCGUAGGCGGUGUGUCGCGUCGGCCGUGAAAACCUGGGGCUUAACUCUGGGCGUGCGGUCGAUACGGGCAUCACUAGAGUUCGGCAGGGGAGACUGGAAUUCCUGGUGUAGCGGUGAAAUGCGCAGAUAUCAGGAGGAACACCGGUGGCGAAGGCGGGUCUCUGGGCCGAUACUGACGCUGAGGCGCGAAAGCUAGGGGAGCGAACGGG
RNAcentral lists this ribosomal RNA (254 nucleotides) under uncultured bacterium. Its description in RNAcentral is "partial 16S ribosomal RNA". It matches the Rfam family "Bacterial small subunit ribosomal RNA", at positions 524 to 776 of the family's 1533-position model. The record is from RNAcentral.